Molecule: long non-coding RNA, 436 nt
Filed under: Equus caballus (horse)
Lineage: Eukaryota; Metazoa; Chordata; Mammalia; Perissodactyla; Equidae
Description: lncRNA (ENSECAG00000056224.1)
Source: RNAcentral
CAGGCCCCGCCCCUGAGCGCCGCAGUCUAGACCCCGCGCCUCGCUCCUCUGAUUCUCAGACGCCUGAGGACUCGCUGUGGUCGUGUCCGGAGGCCCUCAGCUGAGACGGCGCCAGCACCUUCAAUGGAGUCCUGUGUGUGGUGCACCCUGGCAUGUGACAAGAUGCCCACUGUUCUUACCCACUGCUGGAAUUGGGCUUUAUUAAAUGUCUGAAGAAUAAGCUACAUGUUGCUGGUGGUUGACUACAGAGAGGGGAUGGCUACAGAACAGGGGAGGAUGGAAGCUUAUUCUCCAACCUUUACAUGGGAAGGAUGCCCACAGUUCAUGGAGAAUGUCUGUUUUCAUCUCCUGUGAUCCCCAUUGUAACCCUAUGCGGGGUGCAGAACAGGGGACAUAGCACACCUCUUGCAGUUGAAGGCAAUUAAAUUUAGAGAGG